RNAcentral lists this ribosomal RNA (531 nucleotides) under uncultured bacterium. RNAcentral describes it as "bacterial SSU rRNA". It matches the Rfam family "Bacterial small subunit ribosomal RNA", at positions 977 to 1509 of the family's 1533-position model. The record is from RNAcentral.
GGCCUUGACAUACUAAGAACUUUCCAGAGAUGGAUUGGUGCCUUCGGGAACUUAGAUACAGGUGCUGCAUGGCUGUCGUCAGCUCGUGUCGUGAGAUGUUGGGUUAAGUCCCGCAACGAGCGCAACCUUUUCCUAUUUGCCAGCGGGUCAUGCCGGGAACUUUAAGGAUACUGCCAGUGACAAACUGGAGGAAGGCGGGGACGACGUCAAGUCAUCAUGGCCCUUACGGCCAGGGCUACACACGUGCUACAAUGGUCGGUACAAAGGGUUGCUACCUCGCGAGAGGAUGCUAAUCUCAAAAAGCCGAUCGUAGUCCGGAUCGCAGUCUGCAACUCGACUGCGUGAAGUCGGAAUCGCUAGUAAUCGCGGAUCAGAAUGCCGCGGUGAAUACGUUCCCGGGCCUUGUACACACCGCCCGUCACACCAUGGGAGUUUGUUGCACCAGAAGUAGGUAGUCUAACCGCAAGGAGGACGCUUACCACGGUGUGGCCGAUGACUGGGGUGAAGUCGUAACAAGGUAAGCGUAGAUGA